GGUGAGUAACACGUAAGCAACCUGCCUAUCAGAGGGGAACAACAGUUAGAAAUGACUGCUAAUACCGCAUAUGCCUUAGAAUCACAUGGUUCAAAAGGGAAAGGAGCAAUCCGCUGAUAGAUGGGCUUGCGUCUGAUUAGCUAGUUGGUGGGGUAACGGCCUACCAAGGCGACGAUCAGUAGCCGAACUGAGAGGUUGAACGGCCACAUUGGGACUGAGAUACGGCCCAGACUCCUACGGGAGGCAGCAGUCGGGAAUAUUGCGCAAUGGAGGAAACUCUGACGCAGUGACGCCGCGUGCAGGAAGAAGGUUUUCGGAUUGUAAACUGCUUUAGACAGGGAAGAACAAAGACAGUACCUGUAGAAUAAGCUCCGGCUAACUACGUGCCAGCAGCCGCGGUAAUACGUAGGGAGCGAGCGUUAUCCGGAUUUAUUGGGUGUAAAGGGUGCGUAGACGGGAAGUCAAGUUAGUUGUGAAAUCCCUCGGCUUAACUGAGGAACUGCAACUAAAACUGAUUUUCUUGAGUACUGGAGAGGAAAGUGGAAUUCCUAGUGUAGCGGUGAAAUGCGUAGAUAUUAGGAGGAACACCGGUGGCGAAGGCGACUUUCUGGAC
RNAcentral lists this ribosomal RNA (613 nucleotides) under uncultured bacterium. RNAcentral describes it as "bacterial SSU rRNA". It matches the Rfam family "Bacterial small subunit ribosomal RNA", at positions 105 to 734 of the family's 1533-position model. The record is from RNAcentral.